This 400-nucleotide ribosomal RNA is filed under the name uncultured bacterium. RNAcentral describes it as "bacterial SSU rRNA". It matches the Rfam family "Bacterial small subunit ribosomal RNA", at positions 356 to 773 of the family's 1533-position model. The record is from RNAcentral.
GGGGAAUAUUGGACAAUGGGCGCAAGCCUGAUCCAGCCAUGCCGCGUGAGUGAUGAAGGCCCUAGGGUUGUAAAGCUCUUUCACCGGUGAAGAUAAUGACGGUAACCGGAGAAGAAGCCCCGGCUAACUUCGUGCCAGCAGCCGCGGUAAUACGAAGGGGGCUAGCGUUGUUCGGAAUUACUGGGCGUAAAGCGCACGUAGGCGGAUCGGUCAGUUAGGGGUGAAAUCCCAGAGCUCAACCCUGGAACUGCCUCUAAUACUGCUGGUCUAGAGUUCGAGAGAGGUGAGUGGAAUUCCGAGUGUAGAGGUGAAAUUCGUAGAUAUUCGGAGGAACACCAGUGGCGAAGGCGGCUCACUGGCUCGAGACUGACGCUGAGGUGCGAAAGCGUGGGGAGCAAAC